RNAcentral lists this ribosomal RNA (565 nucleotides) under uncultured bacterium. RNAcentral describes it as "partial 16S ribosomal RNA". It matches the Rfam family "Bacterial small subunit ribosomal RNA", at positions 355 to 935 of the family's 1533-position model. The record is from RNAcentral.
UGGGGAAUAUUGCACAAUGGGCGCAAGCCUGAUGCAGCGACGCCGCGUGAGGGAUGACGGCCUUCGGGUUGUAAACCUCUUUCACCAGGGACGAAGCGCAAGUGACGGUACCUGGAGAAGAAGCACCGGCCAACUACGUGCCAGCAGCCGCGGUAAUACGUAGGGUGCGAGCGUUGUCCGGAAUUACUGGGCGUAAAGAGCUCGUAGGUGGUUUGUCGCGUUGUUCGUGAAAACUCACAACUCAAUUGUGGGCGUGCGGGCGAUACGGGCAGACUAGAGUACUGCAGGGGAGACUGGAAUUCCUGGUGUAGCGGUGGAAUGCGCAGAUAUCAGGAGGAACACCGGUGGCGAAGGCGGGUCUCUGGGCAGUAACUGACGCUGAGGAGCGAAAGCGUGGGGAGCGAACAGGAUUAGAUACCCUGGUAGUCCACGCCGUAAACGGUGGGUACUAGGUGUGGGUUCCUUCCUUGGGAUCCGUGCCGUAGCUAACGCAUUGAAGUACCCCGCCUGGGGAGUACGGCCGCAAGGCUAAAACUCAAAGGAAUUGACGGGGUCAUAGCUGUUU